UACGUAGGGUGCGAGCGUUGUCCGGAAUUAUUGGGCGUAAAGGGCUCGUAGGCGGUUUGUCGCGUCGGGAGUGAAAACACCGGGCUUAACUCGGUGCUUGCUUUCGAUACGGGCAGACUAGUGGCAUGCAGGGGAGAACGGAAUUCCUGGUGUAGCGGUGAAAUGCGCAGAUAUCAGGAGGAACACCGGUGGCGAAGGCGGUUCUCUGGGCAUGUCCUGACGCUGAGGAGCGAAAGUGUGGGGAGCGAACAGG
RNAcentral lists this ribosomal RNA (253 nucleotides) under uncultured bacterium. Its description in RNAcentral is "partial 16S ribosomal RNA". It matches the Rfam family "Bacterial small subunit ribosomal RNA", at positions 524 to 776 of the family's 1533-position model. The record is from RNAcentral.